GACGAACGCUGGCGGCGUGCUUAACACAUGCAAGUCGAACGGAAAGGCCCCUUUGGGGGUACUCGAGUGGCGAACGGGUGAGUAACACGUGAGUAACCUGCCCUUGACUUCGGGAUAACUUCAGGAAACUGGGGCUAAUACCGGCUAGGAAUCCUUGCUGCAUGGGGGGGGUUGGAAAGCUUCGGCGGUUUUGGAUGGACUCGCGGCUUAUCAGCUUGUUGGUGGGGUAGUGGCUUACCAAGGCUUUGACGGGUAGCCGGCCUGAGAGGGCGACCGGCCACCUUGGGACUGAGAUACGGCCCAGACUCCUAAGGGAGGCAGCAGUGGGGAAUAUUGCACAAUGGGCGGAAGCCUGAUGCAGCAACGCCGCGUGCGGGAUGGCGGCCUUCGGGUUGUAAACCGCUUUCAGCAGGGGCGAAGCUUGUGGUGACGGUACCUGCAGAAGAAGCACCGGCUAACUACGUG
Molecule: ribosomal RNA, 465 nt
Filed under: uncultured bacterium
Lineage: Bacteria
Description: partial 16S ribosomal RNA
Rfam family: Bacterial small subunit ribosomal RNA
Source: RNAcentral